This 331-nucleotide ribosomal RNA is filed under the name uncultured eukaryote. RNAcentral's name for it is "partial 18S ribosomal RNA". It matches the Rfam family "Eukaryotic small subunit ribosomal RNA", at positions 1470 to 1796 of the family's 1831-position model. The record is from RNAcentral.
CCCUUAGAUGUUCUGGGCCGCACGCGCGCUACACUGACGAAGUCAGCGAGCAUGUCCUACGCCGACAGGUGCGGGGAAUCUUGUCAAACUUCGUCGUGAUGGGGAUUGAUUUUUGAAAUUCUUGACCAUAAACGAGGAAUUCCUAGUAAGCGCAAGUCAGCAGCUUGCGUUGAUUACGUCCCUGCCCUUUGUACACACCGCCCGUCGCUACUACCGAUUGAAUGGUUUAGUGAGAUCUUCGGAUUGGCGCCACUGCAGCUCAGCAAUGGGCUUGGUGGAUGCCGAAAAGUUGAUCAAACUUGAUCAUUUAGAGGAAGUAAAAGUCGUAACA